UACAGAGGGUGCGAGCGUUGUCCGGAAUCACUGGGCGUAAAGGGUUCGUAGGCGGUGCGGCAAGUUGGGAGUGAAAUCUCUGGGCUCAACCCAGAGGCUGCUUCCAAAACUGCUGUGCUUGAGUGUGGGAGAGGCGCGUGGAAUUGCAGGUGUAGCGGUGAAAUGCGUAGAUAUCUGCAGGAACACCCGUGGCGAAAGCGGCGCGCUGGACCACAACUGACGCUGAGGAACGAAAGCUAGGGGAGCAAACAGG
This 253-nucleotide ribosomal RNA is filed under the name uncultured bacterium. RNAcentral describes it as "partial 16S ribosomal RNA". It matches the Rfam family "Bacterial small subunit ribosomal RNA", at positions 524 to 776 of the family's 1533-position model. The record is from RNAcentral.